UCUGUAGGUGGCUUGCUAAGUCAGACGUGAAAUCCCUCGGCUUAACCGGGGAACUGCGUUUGAUACUGGCGAGCUUGAGUGCAGGAGAGGAACGCGGAAUUCCAGGUGUAGCGGUGAAAUGCGUAGAUAUCUGGAGGAACACCGGUGGCGAAGGCGGCGUUCUGGACUGCAACUGACACUGAGAGACGAAAGCCAGGGAGCAAACG
This 206-nucleotide ribosomal RNA is filed under the name uncultured bacterium. RNAcentral describes it as "partial 16S ribosomal RNA". It matches the Rfam family "Bacterial small subunit ribosomal RNA", at positions 568 to 774 of the family's 1533-position model. The record is from RNAcentral.